RNAcentral lists this signal recognition particle RNA (295 nucleotides) under Cebus imitator (Panamanian white-faced capuchin). RNAcentral describes it as "Metazoan signal recognition particle RNA (ENSCCAG00000001534.1)". It matches the Rfam family "Metazoan signal recognition particle RNA". From Rfam's summary of the family: The signal recognition particle (SRP) is a universally conserved ribonucleoprotein. It is involved in the co-translational targeting of proteins to membranes. Lineage: Eukaryota; Metazoa; Chordata; Mammalia; Primates; Cebidae. The record is from Rfam by way of RNAcentral.
GCCGGGCGCGGUGGCGGGUGCCUGUAGUCCCUGCUACUCGGGAGGCUGAGGUGGGAAGAUCGCUUGAGCCCAGGAGUUCUGGGCUGUAGUGCGCUAUGCUGAUCGGGUGUCCGCACUACGUUUGGCAUCAAUAUGGUGACCUCCUGGGAGCGGGGGACCACCAGGUUGCCUAAGGAGGGUUGAACCGACCCAGGUCGGAAACGGAGCAGGUCCAAACUCCUGUGCUGAUCAGUAGUGGGAUCGCGCCUGUGAAUAGCCACUGCACUCUGGGCAACAUAGCAAGACCCCGUCUCCA